Long non-coding RNA from Canis lupus familiaris (dog), 1036 nucleotides. RefSeq lists it as uncharacterized. The transcript has 3 exons. The record is from RefSeq and is a predicted model, not a curated record. Lineage: Eukaryota; Metazoa; Chordata; Mammalia; Carnivora; Canidae.
CUCAUGGCUGAGUAAUACUCUAUUGGAUAUAUAUACCGUAUCUUGUCUAUUCAUCUUUUGACAGAAAAUUAGGUUGUCUACAUAUCUUGACUAGUGUAAAUGAUGCGGUGAACAUGAACGUGCAGGCAGUUAUCUCUUGAAGAUCCUGGUUUUUUUUUUUUUACUUCGGUUAUAUAUCCAGAACUGGAAUAGCUCUAUCAUGUGGUAUUUCUAAUUUUAAAUUUUUAAGGGAACUCCUUGCUGUUUUCCAUAGUGGCCACAUCAAUGAAAUGCUGGCUUUAUAAAAUAAGCAUGGAGUAUUCCCUCCUGUCUCAUGUUUGGAAGAGUUUGAGAAAAAUUAGAAUUGAUUCUUUAAAUGUUUCAUAGAAUUCACCAGCGAAGCCAUCUGGUAUUGGGCUUUUCUUUGUUGGGAGAUUUUUGAUUACACUAAAUCUCUUUACUAAGAUAAUUUCCCUAUGUACAGCUGUACAUUUAGUGUGAUCUUGAGAAAAGGGGAGCUCAGGAACCUCCUAUGUUACUGUCUUCCAAAAAUUCUUCUUUGCACCUGGCUGGUUCAGUUAGAAGAGCACAUGACUCUUGAUCUCGGAGUGUUUUUCUCUAGUUUGAAAGAGGAACAACAAUCUCAUUUCUCUCCAUCAAGGAGCCAACACUACAACCGUAGCUUGUUUGUACGUGAAUGGAGACCUGACUUUAGAAGACUUUUGAAUCAAACGUACCCUCAACAGUGAAAGGCGGCCCUUCAAUGUGGAUAGUAAAAUACUGCUUUAUUAUAGAAACAUAACCAUAAAUCUAAAGAUGAUAACCCGUUCGCAUAGCGUUAGUUAUAUUUUUUAACGUGGCUUCAAUAGAAUCAUUUUGACAACUACUAUAUAAAGCCUACAUAUGGAAUCUCUAAAUAACAGUUGAAUCACUGAUACAUUAAUAUUAGUAGUUUUACAUAUAUUUUUUAACAUUAGCACUUUUAAAAAUACUUUCUCAUGCUCUGACCUCUAUUAAUUUGAGGACACUUCUAUUCCUGUGGAAUACACUGGAGUAC